Molecule: long non-coding RNA, 845 nt
Organism: Chenopodium quinoa (quinoa)
Lineage: Eukaryota; Viridiplantae; Streptophyta; Magnoliopsida; Caryophyllales; Amaranthaceae
Exons: 2
Source: RefSeq, a predicted model, not a curated record
UGGACCAUAACUACGAACUAACACUAGUAGAAAAAUACAAAUAGGCAACCCCCAAUUGGCAUCGGUUCAGACCAAACCGGUGCCAAAAACCGGCCUAAAAUUGGGCGGGGAUUUAGACCAAGAAUAAUGGCACCGGUUCAGAUCAAACUGGUGCCAAAAAUAACAAGGACACCGGUUUGAACCGGUGCCACUGAACCGGUAUACCAAAAAAAAAAAACUGGGAUUGUUCAUUUAUAAACCCUAACAUCCUUAUCUCUCCUCUUAGCUUCUCUCUCCUCUCUUUCUCCUCCAAGGCUCCAACUGAGCGCCUCUCCUCCUUCUCCUCCAACUGAGCGCCUCUCCUCCUCUAUCCUCUCUUUCUCCCUUCAGCUUUCCGACCUCUCUUCUCUGUCUCUCUCCCCUCUCUGUCCUCUUCUUCUGACCUGAAAACUACAUCUAAGCCCGGCUUCUCCCCUCUCGCAGUAGGUGCUUCUUUCUUGCCUCGCUCUUGUGACAUGCAUGCUAUGUUUCCCGGUUAACCGCCUCGCCUCGCCUCGGAUCUCUUUCUAGAACCACCUCCUUAGAGUGAGUUAUAGGCGACGAACUCAAUGUUUCUGGGUUUAAUAAUUCGGGGUGUUAAUUCAUGCAACAAGGAUUCAAGGUUUCGAUUUUGGAAUAUUAUUUUGAUGUUGUAAAUUUUUUUUUUUUUUUUUAUUGUUUUACAAUUUCAAUUUCUGAGUUAAAUUUCAUUAUAAUUCAUUGUAAUUUUUUUUUUGUAUGGUACAAUAACAAUUUACUUGUUGAAUAUAAUGUGAUUUACCAUUGUUUUGAUGUUGAAUAUAACAAUUUCAAGAAUCCUUAUUUCA